GCUGCCCCUAGAGGCAUUGCAGAUGUGACUGUCAUGUCACCUAUGUGUCAGGAGGUGGCAGAGAGGAGAGAGAGGCUAUGACUGCACCCAGUGUUCUGACCUGCAAACAUCUGAAUGAUCAGUAGCCUAACACU
Molecule: small nucleolar RNA, 134 nt
Organism: Acomys russatus (golden spiny mouse)
Lineage: Eukaryota; Metazoa; Chordata; Mammalia; Rodentia; Muridae
Product: small nucleolar RNA SNORA17
Exons: 1
Source: RefSeq, a predicted model, not a curated record